GUUAGGAAUAUUGGACAAUGGGCGCAAGCCUGAUCCAGCCAUGCCGCGUGAGUGAUGAAGGCCUUCGGGUUGUAAACUGCUUUUGUACGGAACGAAACGGUCCGGGUUAAUACCCUGGGCUAAUGACGGUACCGUAAGAAUAAGCACCGGCUAACUACGUGCCAGCAGCCGCGGUAAUACGUAGGGUGCAAGCGUUAAUCGGAAUUACUGGGCGUAAAGCGUGCGCAGGCGGUUUUGUAAGACAGGCGUGAAAUCCCCGGGCUCAACCUGGGAAUUGCGCUUGUGACUGCAAGGCUGGAGUGCGGCAGAGGGGGAUGGAAUUCCGCGUGUAGCAGUGAAACGCGUAGAUAUGCGGAGGAACACCGAUGGCGAAGGCAAUCCCCUGGGCCUGCACUGACGCUCAUGCACGAAAGCGUGGGGAGCAAACAGGAUUAGAAACCCGGGUAGUCC
RNAcentral lists this ribosomal RNA (450 nucleotides) under uncultured bacterium. RNAcentral describes it as "partial 16S ribosomal RNA". It matches the Rfam family "Bacterial small subunit ribosomal RNA", at positions 354 to 796 of the family's 1533-position model. The record is from RNAcentral.